CCCUUAGAUGUUCUGGGCCGCACGCGCGCUACACUGUUCGACGCAGCGAGUCUUAACCUUGACCGAAAGGUUUGGGUAAUCUUCAGCAAAGUCGAACGUGAUGGGGAUUGAUCAUUGCAAUUAUUGAUCGUGAACGAGGAAUUCCUAGUAAGUGCAAGUCAUCAGCUUGCGCUGAUUACGUCCCUGCCCUUUGUACACACCGCCCGUCGCUACUACCGAUUGAAUGGUUUAGUGAGAUCUCUGGAUUGACGCUGGCUAGGGGGCGACCCUUGGCCAGACUGUUGAGAAACUGCUCAAACUUGAUCAUUUAGAGGAAGUAAAAGUCGUAACA
RNAcentral lists this ribosomal RNA (331 nucleotides) under uncultured eukaryote. RNAcentral's name for it is "partial 18S ribosomal RNA". It matches the Rfam family "Eukaryotic small subunit ribosomal RNA", at positions 1470 to 1796 of the family's 1831-position model. The record is from RNAcentral.